Molecule: long non-coding RNA, 1319 nt
Organism: Beta vulgaris subsp. vulgaris (sugar beet)
Lineage: Eukaryota; Viridiplantae; Streptophyta; Magnoliopsida; Caryophyllales; Amaranthaceae
Exons: 3
Source: RefSeq, a predicted model, not a curated record
UGAUGAUCCUGCUUCGGCUGGCUUAUAUCCAUAAACAUGCUGAGCUAGGAUUCCUACUAUCGCAGGAGCAAAUGACGCUAGUGUAGACUCGAAAGAGCAAUCCAAUGCAUAUAUGCUUGUUCGAUGUUUCUCAGAUUCAUUGUCAAAGCGGGGAUCAUUUGCAAAGAGACCCACCAGAAUGCCAACUAUGACACUGACUAUGCCAACCAAAUGGAAAGCAAGCCUCCAACCAGGAAUUCCCAUGAACGAUGUUGAGGCUAUUAAGACGGAGCAGAGGUUUCCGAGAAUUGAGCCUAGGCCUCCUGUGAGCUGUAACCACCCAAAUGCUGUGCCACGGUUGCUGUCGUCAGUGGAGUCUGCGACGAGGGAUUGUACUGCAGAAAGAGGCAGUAACAGAUGUUUCCAGAAAAGUCAACGUGAGCUAGAUCUUCGCAAAUGAAUCCAGAAGAGGGGCAAGGGAGAGAAACAAAAAAAACUCACAAACUACAACACAAAAGAAAGAAACAGGGAAUGCUGAUAAGAAACCUGGAAGAAGGUGGAGGAGAAGGCGACGAGGAAAGUGGCAGCAGACCAAAGAAAAGCGCCAAGAGCAAUGAUAUGGGCCCGGUUAUGGCGGACAGCAAGGUAAGCGGCAAGUGGAUAACAUAAGGAUUGAACAAUGGAUCUAAACAGGGUCAAUGAGCCAAGCCCAGUAGGGUCUGUAUGAAGGGCUGCACCAACCUCUUUGUAAACUCCAGGAAGCAAUGACUCAUCUGCUCGCUCCAUUAUUCCUGCUAAGUUUACCAGCACCAUUGUUAGUGUCUCUGAUCUCAUUUUGGUUCUUUUUUCUUCUUUUUGUUUUGUUCUAGUCUUCAAAAAUUAGCAAGUUAGGGGAAAGGAGUUGGGGAAGAGAAAACAAAACCAGUGGAGGUGACAGAAAUAGGGGGUGAUUUGUUUGUUGAUGACUUGGACUUUAAUGUGUGUUUUAAGGUUUUUUGAUUGGUGGGUUGGUUCCCAACAUGAUAUGGGGUCCUCCAUACAAUUUCCCAAGGAAUAAUAAAGGGGGAUCUUCCAAUUUUUACUCAUUCUUUCGUAACUAGGUACUGUGAUACUCAAGCAAAAAAAGAAAAAAGCGAGUUCAUCUCCAUGGACUGUGAUGAAUAAAAAAUGUACAUCAACUCAAGUAGCAAUGGUGUAAAUUGUGCUGAAAAUGGUAAACAGAACGCUGUGCCAAAAUAGUACUUUUUUUCCGUCUAAUGACACUACACAUUUUAUAGAAAGAUUGUACUGUGGAUGUUAGCUAGCUUAGUUUAUAAAGUUAUGUUAAUAUGGUAUCCAAA